This 2200-nucleotide long non-coding RNA is filed under the name Acanthaster planci (crown-of-thorns starfish). Its description in RNAcentral is "uncharacterized LOC110989238, transcript variant X1". Lineage: Eukaryota; Metazoa; Echinodermata; Asteroidea; Valvatida; Acanthasteridae. The record is from RNAcentral.
GAUGGCUGCCGCUUGACGUCGCGAGGCCGGUACGUACACAAACAAGGUUGAGGGUGGGCUUCAUGAUGAACUUGACGUUGCGAAUAGUUAUCAGUGAUACGUACUUGCACACGUCUGUAGCUACAAGCCAGGCACUCCGUGAAUGACGUAACUGCGCAAAACUCACGGUGCAUCGAAAACCCGCUUUCAGAAUGGCGGACCGACUACGGACAGGCACACUUCAAACAACACGUGGGUGCGGUGGCACCGCACGUGCAUGUGUGUAGUACAUGUAUACUGAGCGGACGGCGGUCGCUUUAAUCCGUUUAUUUUCGCGACUUUUCAAGACAACACGUAAGAAAUUAAUCUGAGGAAUCGCUGGCACACCUACGUGAUAUGGACUGAUGGUCUUGCUGGUGGCCGUCCCGCUGGCGGUGAUGCUACAGUUCUUCAGUGGGGGUUGUUUCAUGGCGUUUGGGUGGAAGUAACAUGACUGACCUGGUUGGUGCAUCUGUGGGAGUUUCACAGAAGUAUCCCUGCUCAUCUUUGGUGACUGCCAGUUCCCGCUGCUCAUAUGUUGGCCUGAUGUAAACUGUUGGGGACCCCGUUUUGAGGUGACAAUUUUGAGGAAUGUGUUUUUGAGGUGACUAGUUGUUGCCUUUCUGAAAAACGUCAUCUUCUUCUUGUGUAUUCCACACCCAGACCGUCCCAUGUUCCAACAGUAGAUGGGAUAAAUUAGAUUUUUCCCCUUUACUAUAAUACAACAGGUCAACGUUACAUGAGGCAGCUAACACUAACAGAUUUGUAAUCCGAGGUGUGUUUUAAGUACAAGUGAAUAAACUUGAAGGGGCUCUGUAGAAUUUAUAUGUAAGUUCCAUUUCCUUUGCUUCCCUCUGAAGAGGUUAUGGGGGCAGGUACUGUAAGUAAUUAAACCCUAGUCAGAUGUAACUGUAAGACAAUGUAUGUCAUGACCCUGCAGGGGACUUUAAGUCCAGUAGUAUGGCAUUUCCAAGGCCAGGUGUACUUGGAAUGAGGAAUGACUUGUUUUACUAGAGGACCUUUAGUCCUGGUAAAUUGUACAUCAUAUGGGACACCUGUUACCAUGGUGUUGUGAUAGUCAUGUUGUAAACUUACCACAAACUGAAAGCAAUCAAAGCAAGUCUUUGGAGUGUCUGUUUUGUUAAACAAGGAAUCUGUGAGCAUGCAUAAACAAUUCCCACUUCAACCUUCCCUAUCUCCAUAUACCCCCCAGAAAGAAAACAAACAGUCUGUGCUCAACCCUAUUUGAGUAAUCCCAACCCUCACAGGCAUUUCUAACCCUCAAUGACAAUUUCUAACCCUACUUAUCAGAGUGGAGACAAAAGCCAAAUGCAUGAGGAGAUUUUAGACUGCAUGAUACAUGUAUGUGGGAAAGGGGAACACCACAAGUGCCAGAGUGCAUGCAGACAAAGCACAAGGAUGUUGAUAGUACCCUUGACAUUCAGGCCUACUUCUGACCUGUGACAAUCUGUUUUUUUGUUUUUGUAAAUGGAAUUUGGUUCAAGUAGUCUUCCUCUUGUAAUAGAGGUAUGUGGGGGUGAAAUAGCCAAAAGUAGGGUGUCUACAGGUUGCAGGCCAGUAAAUAAGCUCAAAAUUGCCUGUGCUGGCCAAAUCACAAUCUGUAGGCUGUCAAAUUCUCUGUUAUUUGAACAUUUUGUGGACCAUGAACUUGGAGAUUUGUAGGGGAAGAAAGGUGAAGGCUAGCCACAGGAAUGUCAUCUUGUGUCCAAGUGAAUUUUGGAUGAAAUCAGUGCCCUAAAGUGGUCUAUUUUAUAUUAUAGAGUGUAGGCAUCUGUUUUCAAAAUGGCUGCAGGCUUCACGACUGUUUUUUAGGGGUGAUCUUUUGUGGAUAAAAAUAUCUCAAAAAGUCACAGGAUAAGCCACAAAAAAUUGGAAGGGAAAGAAAAGAUGAAGAGAUGAGCUUCAAUUUGCCGUGUGUUUUGAACCCCCGAGAAACUUGUAUUUUUGGCAUAUUUUUAAAAAUGGGGGUAUUUAUCACUGUUGUCUAUGCCGGGACUUCAUUUACUGGUCUUUACGCAUAAGGAGUGUUUUACAUGCACGCUGAUUGUUGAAAAAAAUCAGGCUUGGGACGGCCAAGAUCUCAGCUGUGAGAUGGUAUAAAAUAACCCGGCAACUUCUGGGUUAACACUGGAAUAAAAUUGACAAAACUUGAUGACUUUGA